UGGGGAAUUUUGCACAAUGGGGGAAACCCUGAUGCAGCGACGCCGCGUGAUUUAGAAGGCCUUUUGGUUGUAAAAAUCUUUUCUAUGGGAAGAAAAUGACAGUACCAUAGGAAUAAGGACCGGCUAAUUACGUGCCAGCAGCCGCGGUAAUACGUAAGGUCCGAGCGUUGUCCGGAAUCAUUGGGCGUAAAGGGUACGUAGGCGGGUAAGAAAGUUAGAAGUGAAAUCCUAUAGCUCAACUAUAGUAAGCUUUUAAAACUGCUCAUCUUGAGGUAUGGAAGGGAAAGUGGAAUUCCUGGUGUAGCGGUGAAAUGCGCAGAUAUUAGGAGGAAUACCGGUGGCGAAGGCGACAUUCUGGCCAUAACCUGACGCUGAGGUACGAAAGCGUGGGUAGCAAACAGG
This 402-nucleotide ribosomal RNA is filed under the name bacterium. RNAcentral describes it as "partial 16S ribosomal RNA". It matches the Rfam family "Bacterial small subunit ribosomal RNA", at positions 355 to 776 of the family's 1533-position model. The record is from RNAcentral.